RNAcentral lists this long non-coding RNA (641 nucleotides) under Cucumis sativus (cucumber). RNAcentral describes it as "long non-coding RNA (CSAT_LNC000495)". Lineage: Eukaryota; Viridiplantae; Streptophyta; Magnoliopsida; Cucurbitales; Cucurbitaceae. The record is from RNAcentral.
UGAUUAACAAUGAAGACAAUGAGAAUAUAUAGAUAUAAGAGUGGGUGGGUUUUGGUAAUGUCAAUCAGCUCAAGGCCUAAAUAGAAGCUAAACAUAGUCACAUUCAAUCCAAACCAAACGUUGAGGGAACUUACUCUCUGAAGGAGGAUUUUCGAGAUUGGAAGUGUGUUUUCUGAAUAGGAAUACGACCAGGAAUCCCAAUGUAAGCUAUGCUACCGAUCCGAACAUUGUAAGUGCAACCACGUCUACUAAGGUACGCAUUCUGACUCAAUGUAAAUGUAUAGUAAGAGUUUGAAAUAGAGGAAAUUCAAACCCUUGACUUGACUUACUUACCACCCCAUUUUCAACAAAGAUUCGAUGGACUGACUCAAACAAAUGCUUUGUCUCCAGCGAUCGAGUAUUGUUUUCACAAGUAAGCAAUGGGUGAAACCCAACAACUAUACGCCUUCAUUUCAAAGAAACAAGAGAUAGAGAAUAGUCAGAAACGGAACGAGAAGUUUGGAGCACAUAAAGUAAGAACCGCAGGAAGGGAAACAACGUGUGAUGUAAAUGAAAUCAUUGUUAAUAUCUCAACAUCAAGCUUAAAGGCAUUGAAAAGUAGUUGGAUUAGAAGUUGAAAGAUUUAAGAGGUUGUAACACCA